UACGGAGGGUGCAAGCGUUAUCCGGAUUCGCUGGGUUUAAAGGGUGCGUAGGUGGGCAAGUAAGUCAGUGGUGAAAUCUCCGGGCUUAACCCGGAAACUGCCAUUGAUACUAUUUGUCUUGAAUACUGUGGAGGUCAGCGGAAUAUGUCAUGUAGCGGUGAAAUGCUUAGAUAUGACAUAGAACACCAAUUGCGAAGGCAGCUGGCUACACAAAUAUUGACACUGAGGCACGAAAGCGUGGGGAUCAAACAGG
This 253-nucleotide ribosomal RNA is filed under the name uncultured bacterium. Its description in RNAcentral is "partial 16S ribosomal RNA". It matches the Rfam family "Bacterial small subunit ribosomal RNA", at positions 524 to 776 of the family's 1533-position model. The record is from RNAcentral.